GACGAACGUUGGCGGCGUGCUUAAUACAUGCAAGUCAACUGAAGCACCGGUAGUAAUACUGGUGUGGAGGUGGCGCACGGGUGAGUAACACGUAGGUAAUCUGCCUUCAGGUCUGACAUAACCCCGAGAAAUCGGGGCUAAUAGCAGAUGAUGCAGCGGCUUGACAUCAAGACAGUUGUUAAAGCUUCGGCGCCUGAAGAUGAGCCUGCGUCUGAUUAGCUAGUUGGCGGAGUAAUGGCCCACCAAGGCUACGAUCAGUAACUGGUCUGAGAGGAUGAUCAGUCACACUGGAACUGAGACACGGUCCAGACUCCUACGGGAGGCAGCAGUAAGGAAUAUUGCUCAAUAGGGAGGAAAUACCUGAAGCAGCAACGACCGCCGUGAGGGAGUGAAGGG
Molecule: ribosomal RNA, 396 nt
Filed under: uncultured bacterium
Lineage: Bacteria
Description: bacterial SSU rRNA
Rfam family: Bacterial small subunit ribosomal RNA
Source: RNAcentral